RNAcentral lists this ribosomal RNA (2284 nucleotides) under Staphylococcus aureus. RNAcentral's name for it is "partial 23S ribosomal RNA". It matches the Rfam family "Bacterial large subunit ribosomal RNA", at positions 1 to 2282 of the family's 2925-position model. The record is from RNAcentral. Lineage: Bacteria; Bacillati; Bacillota; Bacilli; Caryophanales; Staphylococcaceae.
AGAUUAAGUUAUUAAGGGCGCACGGUGGAUGCCUUGGCACUAGAAGCCGAUGAAGGACGUUACUAACGACGAUAUGCUUUGGGGAGCUGUAAGUAAGCUUUGAUCCAGAGAUUUCCGAAUGGGGAAACCCAGCAUGAGUUAUGUCAUGUUAUCGAUAUGUGAAUACAUAGCAUAUCAGAAGGCACACCCGGAGAACUGAAACAUCUUAGUACCCGGAGGAAGAGAAAGAAAAUUCGAUUCCCUUAGUAGCGGCGAGCGAAACGGGAAGAGCCCAAACCAACAAGCUUGCUUGUUGGGGUUGUAGGACACUCUAUACGGAGUUACAAAGGACGACAUUAGACGAAUCAUCUGGAAAGAUGAAUCAAAGAAGGUAAUAAUCCUGUAGUCGAAAAUGUUGUCUCUCUUGAGUGGAUCCUGAGUACGACGGAGCACGUGAAAUUCCGUCGGAAUCUGGGAGGACCAUCUCCUAAGGCUAAAUACUCUCUAGUGACCGAUAGUGAACCAGUACCGUGAGGGAAAGGUGAAAAGCACCCCGGAAGGGGAGUGAAAUAGAACCUGAAACCGUGUGCUUACAAGUAGUCAGAGCCCGUUAAUGGGUGAUGGCGUGCCUUUUGUAGAAUGAACCGGCGAGUUACGAUUUGAUGCAAGGUUAAGCAGUAAAUGUGGAGCCGUAGCGAAAGCGAGUCUGAAUAGGGCGUUUAGUAUUUGGUCGUAGACCCGAAACCAGGUGAUCUACCCUUGGUCAGGUUGAAGUUCAGGUAACACUGAAUGGAGGACCGAACCGACUUACGUUGAAAAGUGAGCGGAUGAACUGAGGGUAGCGGAGAAAUUCCAAUCGAACCUGGAGAUAGCUGGUUCUCUCCGAAAUAGCUUUAGGGCUAGCCUCAAGUGAUGAUUAUUGGAGGUAGAGCACUGUUUGGACGAGGGGCCCCUCUCGGGUUACCGAAUUCAGACAAACUCCGAAUGCCAAUUAAUUUAACUUGGGAGUCAGAACAUGGGUGAUAAGGUCCGUGUUCGAAAGGGAAACAGCCCAGACCACCAGCUAAGGUCCCAAAAUAUAUGUUAAGUGGAAAAGGAUGUGGCGUUGCCCAGACAACUAGGAUGUUGGCUUAGAAGCAGCCAUCAUUUAAAGAGUGCGUAAUAGCUCACUAGUCGAGUGACACUGCGCCGAAAAUGUACCGGGGCUAAACAUAUUACCGAAGCUGUGGAUUGUCCUUUGGACAAUGGUAGGAGAGCGUUCUAAGGGCGUUGAAGCAUGAUCGUAAGGACAUGUGGAGCGCUUAGAAGUGAGAAUGCCGGUGUGAGUAGCGAAAGACGGGUGAGAAUCCCGUCCACCGAUUGACUAAGGUUUCCAGAGGAAGGCUCGUCCGCUCUGGGUUAGUCGGGUCCUAAGCUGAGGCCGACAGGCGUAGGCGAUGGAUAACAGGUUGAUAUUCCUGUACCACCUAUAAUCGUUUUAAUCGAUGGGGGGACGCAGUAGGAUAGGCGAAGCGUGCGAUUGGAUUGCACGUCUAAGCAGUAAGGCUGAGUAUUAGGCAAAUCCGGUACUCGUUAAGGCUGAGCUGUGAUGGGGAGAAGACAUUGUGUCUUCGAGUCGUUGAUUUCACACUGCCGAGAAAAGCCUCUAGAUAGAAAAUAGGUGCCCGUACCGCAAACCGACACAGGUAGUCAAGAUGAGAAUUCUAAGGUGAGCGAGCGAACUCUCGUUAAGGAACUCGGCAAAAUGACCCCGUAACUUCGGGAGAAGGGGUGCUCUUUAGGGUUAACGCCCAGAAGAGCCGCAGUGAAUAGGCCCAAGCGACUGUUUAUCAAAAACACAGGUCUCUGCUAAACCGUAAGGUGAUGUAUAGGGGCUGACGCCUGCCCGGUGCUGGAAGGUUAAGAGGAGUGGUUAGCUUCUGCGAAGCUACGAAUCGAAGCCCCAGUAAACGGCGGCCGUAACUAUAACGGUCCUAAGGUAGCGAAAUUCCUUGUCGGGUAAGUUCCGACCCGCACGAAAGGCGUAACGAUUUGGGCACUGUCUCAACGAGAGACUCGGUGAAAUCAUAGUACCUGUGAAGAUGCAGGUUACCCGCGACAGGACGGAAAGACCCCGUGGAGCUUUACUGUAGCCUGAUAUUGAAAUUCGGCACAGCUUGUACAGGAUAGGUAGGAGCCUUUGAAACGUGAGCGCUAGCUUACGUGGAGGCGCUGGUGGGAUACUACCCUAGCUGUGUUGGCUUUCUAACCCGCACCACUUAUCGUGGUGGGAGACAGUGUCAGGCGGGCAGUUUGACUGGGGCGG